AAGUCGUAACAAGGUUUCCGUAGGUGAACCUGCGGAAGGAUCAUUAACACGUGAUACUCACGUAUUAAAAACCCACCGAGAAAUUGUUAUACUAUCCUAGUUUCAGAUGCAGGCAGACUUUGUGAGGAAAUGCUAUUGGUCGCGCUUCCGAAAGGUAUGAGUCUACACCAUGACUCACAAAGUUGUUCUUAGGUCCGCCCUGGAGUUUGCACUGAUGACUAGUUGACGAGUUACGACUGCUUAUUAAGCCUGUAGCAUAGCUUGCAGAUCGUAAUGACCUUAUUAACCCCUUUUAUUAUUAUUUACUGAUUUGUACGUUUGUAUGAAUUCCUGACUUUACUGUCGGUUGUAGUUUAUAUAAAUGUCGUAUAUUACUAAUACGAAACAACUCUUAGCAACGGAUAUCUUGGUUCUCGUAACGAUGAAAAACGCAGC
This 435-nucleotide unclassified non-coding RNA is filed under the name fungal sp. RNAcentral's name for it is "partial internal transcribed spacer region". The stretch from base 1 to 46 matches the Rfam family "Eukaryotic small subunit ribosomal RNA", at positions 1786 to 1831 of the family's 1831-position model. The record is from RNAcentral. Lineage: Eukaryota; Fungi.